GGAAGCGGAGGGCAGGGGGUUUCCGGUUCCGAUGCCGGAUAGCAAUGGCGCCUCUGAGGCGCUACGUCCUGGUCUUCGGCGGCUUCGCUGCUGCGGUGGGGCUGACCCUCUACCCCAUCUUCUUUUACCCCAUGACCCACCUGGGGGACUACAAAAAGGCACAAAAUAUAAAUCGAGCCGGCAUUAUCCAAGAAGAUGUACAGCCUCCAGGAUUAAAAGUGUGGUCUGAUCCAUUUGGAAAAAAGUGAAAAGCUCUCUCUUGAAGAUGUGUGGAUUUCCCUUUUUGCCAUCCAUAAUACUCCAAGUCCUUUUUGACAACUGAAAUAAUGUAGAAAAAGGGUUUGGCAUGUCGGUUUGCAUUCAUGUAUAUAUGUAGUAAUUGCUAAUUUGCAAGCUUCUCUCUGAUCUAGAUGUGACAAAGAGAACUGUAUGGAAUCUUUUCUGUUAAGAAAAUGGAAUAAUUGUGUUUUCCUUUAUUGAGAGAAUAAAUAUUAUUUUGAUCUGCACAGAUUAAGCAGCUGACGUCUGUAUAAAAUAUGACAACAAUAAAGUAUAUUAUUAUAAAAAAAAAAACAAACCUGCUUCUAGAAUUGUGAGAAAUAAAGCUUUUUUAUAAUGUUCUACUACAGGAUAUGGGGCUCAGCAUUUUAGCCGUUCUUUAAAUGAAAAGGUGGACUGAGGAAAACAAUACUUAACUUCUGAAAAAGAUAUCCCAGAUAAACAUUGUAAUUUUUAGGCUUCAAGAAGAGAUGAUUUUUAAACAGAUUUAAUUUCUAAUUAAAAUGGUAUCAUUUGGGGCUCUGGGCUUUUAUAAUUAAUUCUUAAAUUAAGAGAAACUAUAUUUGUACUUUUCCUGUUAAAAAUAAAAAAUAUUUUAUUAUUCA
Crotalus tigris (Tiger rattlesnake) is the source of this 884-nucleotide long non-coding RNA. RefSeq lists it as uncharacterized. Lineage: Eukaryota; Metazoa; Chordata; Lepidosauria; Squamata; Viperidae. The transcript has 3 exons. The record is from RefSeq and is a predicted model, not a curated record.